Molecule: ribosomal RNA, 1141 nt
Filed under: Candidatus Synechococcus spongiarum
Lineage: Bacteria; Bacillati; Cyanobacteriota; Cyanophyceae; Synechococcales; Synechococcaceae
Description: bacterial SSU rRNA
Rfam family: Bacterial small subunit ribosomal RNA
Source: RNAcentral
CGAAAGCCUGACGGAGCAACGCCGCGUGAGGGAUGAAGGCCUUUGGGCUGUAAACCUCUUUUCUCAAGGAAGAAGAUCUGACGGUACUUGAGGAAUAAGCCACGGCUAAUUCCGUGCCAGCAGCCGCGGUAAUACGGGAGUGGCAAGCGUUAUCCGGAAUUAUUGGGCGUAAAGCGUCCGCAGGCGGCCGUUUAAGUCUGUUGUUAAAUCGUGGAGCUCAACUCCAUCACGGCAAUGGAAACUGUUCGGCUUGAGUAUGGUAGGGGCAGAGGGAAUUUCCGGUGUAGCGGUGAAAUGCGUAGAUAUCGGGAAGAACACCAGUGGCGAAAGCGCUCUGCUGGACCAUUACUGACGCUCAUGGACGAAAGCCAGGGGAGCGAAAGGGAUUAGAUACCCCUGUAGUCCUGGCCGUAAACGAUGAACACUAGAUGUUGGGGGAAUCGACCCCCUCGGUGUCGUAGCUAACGCGUUAAGUGUUCCGCCUGGGGAGUACGCACGCAAGUGUGAAACUCAAAGGAAUUGACGGGGGCCCGCACAAGCGGUGGAGUAUGUGGUUUAAUUCGAUGCAACGCGAAGAACCUUACCAAGGCUUGACAUCCUGCGAAUCUCCGAGAAAUUGGAGAGUGCCUUCGGGAACGCAGUGACAGGUGGUGCAUGGCUGUCGUCAGCUCGUGUCGUGAGAUGUUGGGUUAAGUCCCGCAACGAGCGCAACCCACGUUUUUAGUUGCCAGCAUUCAGUUGGGCACUCUAGAAAGACUGCCGGUGACAAACCGGAGGAAGGUGUGGACGACGUCAAGUCAUCAUGCCCCUUACGCCUUGGGCUACACACGUACUACAAUGCUGCGGACAAAGAGUAGCGAUCUUGCGAAAGUUAGCUAAUCUCGUAAACCGUGGCUCAGUUCAGAUCGUAGGCUGCAACUCGCCUACGUGAAGGAGGAAUCGCUAGUAAUCGCAGGUCAGCAUACUGCGGUGAAUACGUUCCCGGGCCUUGUACACACCGCUCGUCACACCAUGGAAGUUGGCCAUGCCCGAAGUCGUUACUCUAACCUUUUGGAAGAGGGCGCCGAAGGCAGGGCUGAUGACUGGGGUGAAGUCGUAACAAGGUAGCCGUAGCGGAAGCUGCGGCUGGAUCACCUCCUAA